Long non-coding RNA from Homo sapiens (human), 736 nucleotides. Lineage: Eukaryota; Metazoa; Chordata; Mammalia; Primates; Hominidae. The record is from Ensembl.
GUUCCUCCACGCACGCGCCUUUCCUCCUAGCUAGCACCCCUUCUCCAAGCUCCCAUUGCCCCAUCCUAAUUGCAGCACCCCUGUGCGCGCGCGCCUUAGAAAUCGCAGGCCUCCUGCAUUCUCUUCUUCCUCACUCUUUCCGGCCUAUGGCCGGUCUGGAGCACUUCACCAUCGCAUUCCAGGACGACUCCCCCUCACAGGAGGCCUUGACCUUCACAGGAUCGCGGCACACACCUGCGCAGACCCAGCGACUUUGGAGUUCCCGCGUCUCUUCCCCAUGUCUGCAGUCGGAGGGCGCGGGUGGGCUCCUGGUCGCGGCCCGGCGCUCUUCGUCCUCGCCCUUCUCCGCCCGGGGCGCUUGCUGACCCUAGAGUCUUGGACAGUGGCGUUGGGAGUCCCCAGCGGCCUGGGAACCAGAUGAGGCUGGAAGGAGGAAGUGGCUGAGCGACCAGACCGUUGCUGUGUGCAGAGCGAGAGCGGGGCAGAGGCGGUCGAGCGCUCGUUUUCCGGGCGACUUGGCUGAGGGGCGAGAUGGUCCCUUGGAGAGAACAGCCACGGGCCCUGGGCCGAGGGGCUCCAAACAGCAGUCGCUAGGCUGUUUUGGUCGUCGGGCUUUAUCAGUAAACAAUUCGAGCCCAUGGUUCGAAUGAUUAUUUAAUUAAAUUCCUCAGUAAUAGAUCCAGUGCAUUGUGAAAAUAUGCGAAAUAAAAUUUAAAUGAUGAGAUAAAAUAAGGAA